AUUAAACAGGAGGAUUAAAUGAUCGGCUGCCCCUUUGGUGAAAAAUUUAUAAUUGUGAUGUCUUGCUUUAUAUGCUUCUUAAGUAUAGAGUCAUAAUAUACCGGUACCUAACUUUUACAGAUUAAGUGAUAUACUUGUGUAUUUUAUCAUUUGUGAUAGCCAUUUAAAAGGAUGUGAUGCUACAAAAAAUGGAGCCUAAGUUUCUCCUCUUACAAAUAGUUAUAUUUUUUAUCUUCAUUAAUUGCAUUUCUUUGCAGAGACAAAAAAG
Biomphalaria pfeifferi is the source of this 268-nucleotide non-coding RNA. Lineage: Eukaryota; Metazoa; Mollusca; Gastropoda; Planorbidae. The record is from the annotation of a GenBank genome assembly.